Molecule: non-coding RNA, 69 nt
Organism: Podarcis lilfordi (Lilford's wall lizard)
Lineage: Eukaryota; Metazoa; Chordata; Lepidosauria; Squamata; Lacertidae
Source: the annotation of a GenBank genome assembly
GCCACACAUCAGUGAUAAGAGCAUCUGCUUUGCAUGCAGGAGACCCAGGUUCAAUCCCUGGUAUCUCCA